Molecule: transfer RNA, 63 nt
Filed under: Rattus norvegicus (Norway rat)
Lineage: Eukaryota; Metazoa; Chordata; Mammalia; Rodentia; Muridae
Rfam family: tRNA
About the family: Transfer RNA (tRNA) molecules are approximately 80 nucleotides in length. Their secondary structure includes four short double-helical elements and three loops (D, anti-codon, and T loops). Further hydrogen bonds mediate the characteristic L-shaped molecular structure. tRNAs have two regions of fundamental functional importance: the anti-codon, which is responsible for specific mRNA codon recognition, and the 3' end, to which the tRNAs corresponding amino acid is attached (by aminoacyl-tRNA synthetases). tRNAs cope with the degeneracy of the genetic code in two manners: having more than one tRNA (with a specific anti-codon) for a particular amino acid; and 'wobble' base-pairing, i.e. permitting non-standard base-pairing at the 3rd anti-codon position.
Source: Rfam by way of RNAcentral
GGGGAUUUAGCUCAGUGGUAGAGCACUUGCCUAGCAAGCACAAGCCCCUGGGUUCAGUCCCCA